Molecule: ribosomal RNA, 411 nt
Filed under: uncultured bacterium
Lineage: Bacteria
Description: bacterial SSU rRNA
Rfam family: Bacterial small subunit ribosomal RNA
Source: RNAcentral
GAACGAGAAAGUGGAGCAAUCCAUGAGUAAAGUGGCGACCGGGUGAGUAACACGUGACUAACCUACCUCCGAAUGGGGAAUAACUCCGGGAAACCGGGGCUAAUACCGCAUAACACCGCAAGGUCAAAGCAGCAAUGCGUUUGGAGAGGGGGUCGCGGCUGAUUAGCUAGUUGGCGGGGUAACGGCCCACCAAGGCGAAGAUCGGUAUCCGGCCUGAGAGGGCGCACGGACACACUGGAACUGAAACACGGUCCAGACUCCUACGGGAGGCAGCAGUGGGGAAUUUUGCGCAAUGGGGGAAACCCUGACGCAGCAACGCCGCGUGGAGGAUGAAGCCCUUUGGGGCGUAAACUCCUUUCGACCAAGACGAUAAUGACGGUACUGGUGGAAGAAGCACCGGCUAACUCUGUG